UACGGAGGAUCCAAGCGUUAUCCGGAAUCAUUGGGUUUAAAGGGUCCGUAGGCGGUCAGAUAAGUCAGUGGUGAAAGCCCAUCGCUCAACGAUGGAACGGCCAUUGAUACUGUCUGACUUGAAUUACUGGGAAGUAACUAGAAUAUGUAGUGUAGCGGUGAAAUGCUUAGAUAUUACAUGGAAUACCAAUUGCGAAGGCAGGUUACUACCAGUGGAUUGACGCUGAUGGACGAAAGCGUGGGGAGCGAACAGG
RNAcentral lists this ribosomal RNA (253 nucleotides) under uncultured bacterium. RNAcentral describes it as "partial 16S ribosomal RNA". It matches the Rfam family "Bacterial small subunit ribosomal RNA", at positions 524 to 776 of the family's 1533-position model. The record is from RNAcentral.